This 28-nucleotide non-coding RNA is filed under the name Cricetulus griseus (Chinese hamster). The record is from RNAcentral. Lineage: Eukaryota; Metazoa; Chordata; Mammalia; Rodentia; Cricetidae.
UAUCUAAGUGGAUUGUAUGUUGUUGAAG